Acanthosepion pharaonis is the source of this 109-nucleotide non-coding RNA. The record is from the annotation of a GenBank genome assembly. Lineage: Eukaryota; Metazoa; Mollusca; Cephalopoda; Sepiida; Sepiidae.
GGCUAUAUCAUGCUGCAGUACCGGUUCCCCUACGAUCCCCGAAGUUAAGAAAUGCCAAGCCUGGUCAGUACCUAGAUGGAUAACCGCUUGUGAAUACCACGCGCUGUAA